Molecule: long non-coding RNA, 1525 nt
Organism: Aedes albopictus (Asian tiger mosquito)
Lineage: Eukaryota; Metazoa; Arthropoda; Insecta; Diptera; Culicidae
Exons: 2
Source: RefSeq, a predicted model, not a curated record
UUUGGUGCUCAGGUGUGCUCCAAAUUUUAUUUCAGACUCGAUCUGAGCUUAACAUUGUCGUUCAUUAUAUGAUGUCAGCUAGGCUUUUUUGAUGCUCAGGUGUGCUCCAAAUUUUAUUUCAGACUCGAUCUGAGCUCAAUAUUGUCGUUCAUUAUAUGAUGUCAGCUAGGCUUCUUUGAAGCUCAGGUGUGCUCCAAAUUUUAUUUCAGACUCGAUCUGAGCUUAACAUUGUCGUUCAUUAUAUGAUGUCAGCUAGGCUUCUUUGAAGCUCAGGUGCGCUCCAAAUUUUAUUUCAGACUCGAUCUGAGCUUAACAUUGUCGUUCAUUAUAUGAUGUCAGCUAGGCUUUUUUGGUGCUCAGGUGUGCUCCAAAUUUUAUUUCAGACUCGAUCUGAGCUAAACAUUGUCGUUCAUUAUAUGAUGUCAGCUAGGCUUUUUUGGUGCUCAGGUGUGCUCCAAAUUUUAUUUCAGACUCGAUCUGAGCUAAACAUUGUCGUUCAUUAUAUGAUGUCAGCUAGGCUUCUUUGAAGCUCAGGUGCGCUCCAAAUUUUAUUUCAGACUCGAUCUGAGCUUAACAUUGUCGUUCAUUAUACGAUGUCAGCUAGGCUUUUUUGGUGCUCAGGUGUGCUCCAAAUUUUAUUUCAGACUCGAUCUGAGCUUAACAUUGUCGUUCAUUAUAUGAUGUCAGCUAGGCUUUUUUGAUGCUCAGGUGUGCUCCAAAUUUUAUUUCAGACUCGAUCUGAGCUCAAUAUUGUCGUUCAUUAUAUGAUGUCAGCUAGGCAUCUUUGAAGCUCAGGUGUGCUCCAAAUUAUAUUUCAGACUCGAUCUGAGCUAAACAUUGUCGUUCAUUAUAUGAUGUCAGCCAGGCUUCUUUGAAGCUCAGGUGUGCUCUAAAUUUUAUUUCAGACUCGAUAUGUGCUUAGUUCUGUCGUUCAUUAUAUUAUAUCAGCUAUGCUUCUUUGAAGCUCAGGUGUGCUCUAAAUUAUAUUUCAGACUUGAUCAGAGCUCAAUAUUGUCGUUCAUCAUAUGAUGUCAGAUAUGCUUCUUUGAAGCUCAGGUGUGAUCUAAAUUUUAUUUCAGACUUGAUCUGAGCUCAAUAUUGUCGUUCAUUAUAUGAUGUCAGCUAGGCUUCUUUGAAGCUCAGGUGUGCUCCAAAUUUUAUUUCAGACUCGAACUGAGCUCAAUAUUGUCGUUCAUUAUAUGAUGUCAGCUAGGCUUCUUUGAAGCUCAGGUGUGCUCCAAAUUUUAUUUCAGACUGGAUGUGAUGUGCAAUGUAACCUGAAUGCAUUUUCGGGUAAUUUUGCGCUUCCUAAGCUUAGCUCAGGCUUAGGAUUGCUCUAGAUUCCUUAUGAUGUGCAAUGUAACCUGAAUGCAUUUUCGGGUGAUUUUGCGCUUCCUAAGCUUAGCUCAGGCUUAGGAUUGCUCUAGAUUCCAUAUGAUGUGCAAUGUAACCUGAAGAUUCUAUAACAUUCCCCAGAAACCCAAUCCCCAGAAUUCCAUUCCCCAGAAUGUACCAUUCCCCAGAA